Molecule: ribosomal RNA, 497 nt
Filed under: uncultured bacterium
Lineage: Bacteria
Description: partial 16S ribosomal RNA
Rfam family: Bacterial small subunit ribosomal RNA
Source: RNAcentral
GAUGAACGCUGGCGGCGUGCCUAAUACAUGCAAGUCGAGCGAACAGAUGAGGAGCUUGCUCCUCUGACGUUAGCGGCGGACGGGUGAGUAACACGUGGAUAACCUACCUAUAAGACUGGGAUAACUUCGGGAAACCGGAGCUAAUACCGGAUAAUAUAUUGAACCGCAUGGUUCAAUAGUGAAAGACGGUUUUGCUGUCACUUAUAGAUGGAUCCGCGCCGCAUUAGCUAGUUGGUAAGGUAACGGCUUACCAAGGCAACGAUGCGUAGCCGACCUGAGAGGGUGGGGGGCCACAAGGGAAGUGACACACGGUCCAGACGCAUACGGGACGCAGCAGUAGGGAAUCUUCCGCAAUGGGCGAAAGCCUGACGGAGUAACGGAGCGUGAGUGAUGAAGGUCGUCGGAUCGUAAAACUGUGUUAAUAGGAAAGAACAAAUAUGUAAGUAACUAUGCACGUCUUGACGGUACCUAAUCAGACAGCAACGGAUAACUACGUG